RNAcentral lists this unclassified non-coding RNA (237 nucleotides) under plant metagenome. Its description in RNAcentral is "partial contains small subunit ribosomal RNA, internal transcribed spacer 1, and 5.8S ribosomal RNA". The stretch from base 1 to 54 matches the Rfam family "Eukaryotic small subunit ribosomal RNA", at positions 1778 to 1831 of the family's 1831-position model. The record is from RNAcentral.
GGAAGUAAAAAUCGUAACAAGGUCUCCGUUGGUGAACCAGCGGAGGGAUCAUUACCGAGUUUACAACUCCCAAACCCCUGUGAACAUACCUGUUUUGUUGCUUCGGCGGUGCCCUCGCUCUCGCGGCGAGGCCCGCCAGAGGACCCAAACAAACUCUUUGACUUUGAUCUAGGAUUAUACUUCUGAGUGAUACAAAAAAUAAAAUCAAAACUUUCAACAACGGAUCUCUUGGUUCUG